RNAcentral lists this ribosomal RNA (466 nucleotides) under uncultured bacterium. RNAcentral's name for it is "partial 16S ribosomal RNA". It matches the Rfam family "Bacterial small subunit ribosomal RNA", at positions 28 to 507 of the family's 1533-position model. The record is from RNAcentral.
GACGAACGCUGGCGGCGUGCUUAACACAUGCAAGUCGAACGGAAAGGCCCUGCUUGCAGGGUACUCGAGUGGCGAACGGGUGAGUAACACGUGGGUGAUCUGCCCUGCACUUCGGGAUAAGCUUGGGAAACUGGGUCUAAUACCGGAUAGGAGCCAUCUUUAGUGUGGUGGUUGGAAAGUUUUUUCGGUGUAGGAUGAGCUCGCGGCCUAUCAGCUUGUUGGUGGGGUAAUGGCCUACCAAGGCGGCGACGGGUAGCCGGCCUGAGAGGGUGUACGGCCACAUUGGGACUGAGAGACGGCCCAGACUCCUACGGGAGGCAGCAGUGGGGAAUAUUGCACAAUGGGCGCAAGCCUGAUGCAGCGACGCCGCGUGGGGGAUGAAGGCCUUCGGGUUGUAAACUCCUUUCGCUAGGGACGAAGCUUUGUUGUGACGGUACCUAGAGAAGAAGCACCGGCUAACUACGUG